AAAGGCUUGUGAGAAUCUGGUGGAUGCUGGACCUUGCUGCUGCUGCUACUGCUGUUUCCAGGGGCUGCAGAGCAUGGACUGUUAAAUCUUGCACUUCUUCUGAGUGAGACUGCAUUUCAGCAGUAUGAAAUAUAAGAGAAUUAUUCAGUGUUGAUGGCAAAAUCUCAAUGAUGAAGUUUAUCACUAAAAGAAAACAACCUAUGCUGUGAAAGCAGAGAUGCUCUAGAAUCUACAGGUCUUUUCCUAUGGGAAAAUAAGGGAAAAAAAAGACUCUCAUCAGAAUCAUUUAUUUACAGCAUUGAGACUAUGUUGAUUUCAAGGUCAUGUUUGUUGCAGCUUCAAAAGAUGCUGGCAAGGAACGAGCCACACUGGCCACUGCCAUCCAAAAGAGAAUUCUAAAAGGAAACAGUACAAAACAGAACAUCAAAACAAAACAGACAAACAACCUGGGAACCAUUAGGUUUUACACCAGAGUGAAACCCCAGAAGAGACAUUCUGCAGCUGGUGAACAGCCGGCCUCAUUUGUGAGCAAUCUGUUCCCAUCAGUGUCAGGGAUUCCA
Molecule: small RNA, 560 nt
Filed under: Pongo abelii (Sumatran orangutan)
Lineage: Eukaryota; Metazoa; Chordata; Mammalia; Primates; Hominidae
Description: processed transcript
Source: RNAcentral